CCCAGGCUUCAGUGACCUUGGAGGCCACGGGCCUGCAGAGCACGCAAGCCAAACCGCCCUCCCGGUCUGUGUGGGGUAAACACUGCUGUCUCACACUCACACUCACACACACACACACACACACAAGAAAGCAUAUAUUUACUUAAUGGACACACUCAAAAACUGGAGGACGCCACAUAAUGUUCAGAAAUGGCAAAGUGGACAUGCAGUCCAGCCCAGCAAAAACCAGCCAGAAUUGAGGGUCAGCUGCCUUCUUUUGAGGGGCGGCCACUCUCUGGUGCCUGCAUCACUUAGGCAUGGCUCACACCGGGGCCAAAAGGCCUCAGGUUUGCUUCUCUCCCAACUUGGUGUGAUGGUUAAGAGCACCAGACGUGGGCUUUGGAAGGCAUGUUAUCAAAUCCCGGCUCUGCCACUUUUAAGCUGUGUGACCUUAGGGAGGUUGUUUAACUUCCUGCGCCUUAGUUUCAUUGUCUGUCUUACAGAGAUGAUCAUAGUGACCUGCUUCACAAGGUUUUUUCUGAUACCAGGAUAUUUUCUGCUGUUUGUAUUUAAGAAGAUCAACACCAGGGCCGUAACACAGCAAGCCUAAUUGGACCAAUGAGGGGCUGCGGCCAGGAAACAGAGAUGAUUGUCUUACAUCAGCCAGUCUUGGUGGCCAAUAAAGGAGAACAGCUGCA
Molecule: long non-coding RNA, 677 nt
Organism: Canis lupus familiaris (dog)
Lineage: Eukaryota; Metazoa; Chordata; Mammalia; Carnivora; Canidae
Exons: 2
Source: RefSeq, a predicted model, not a curated record